This 2087-nucleotide ribosomal RNA is filed under the name Psychrobacter pulmonis. RNAcentral describes it as "bacterial LSU rRNA". It matches the Rfam family "Bacterial large subunit ribosomal RNA", at positions 129 to 2266 of the family's 2925-position model. Lineage: Bacteria; Pseudomonadati; Pseudomonadota; Gammaproteobacteria; Moraxellales; Moraxellaceae. The record is from RNAcentral.
CACCUASCAUAAGSUAGGUAUCUUAUAUUUAUAUAAGAGGCGAACGAGGGGAAGUGAAACAUCUCAGUACCCUUAGGAAUAGACAUCAAUUGAGAUUCCCCUAGUAGCGGCGAGCGAACGGGGAGAAGCCGAUUAAUUCUAAUGUAGAAGAACAGCGUGGGAAAGCUGACCGUAGUAGGUGAUAGUCCUGUAUUCGAAACAUUAGAGUUAACAUAUUAAGUAGAGCGGGGCACGAGAAAUCCUGUUUGAAGAUGGGGGGACCAUCCUCCAAGGCUAAAUACUCCUGACUGACCGAUAGUGAACCAGUACCGUGAGGGAAAGGCGAAAAGAACCCCUGUGAGGGGAGUGAAAUAGAACCUGAAACCGUGUGCGUACAAGCAGUGGGAGCCUUAAUUUAUUAGGGUGACCGCGUACCUUUUGUAUAAUGGGUCAGCGACUUAUAUUCUGUAGCAAGGUUAACCGUUUAGGGGAGCCGUAGGGAAACCGAGUCUUAAUAGGGCGAUUAGUUGCAGGGUAUAGACCCGAAACCGAGUGAUCUAUCCAUGAGCAGGUUGAAAGUGCCGUAACAGGCACCGGAGGACCGAACCCACUGUCGUUGAAAAGCCAGGGGAUGACUUGUGGAUAGGGGUGAAAGGCUAAUCAAACUCGGUGAUAGCUGGUUCUCCCCGAAAGCUAUUUAGGUAGCGCCUCGGACGAACACCAUUGGGGGUAGAGCACUGUUUCGGCUAGGGGGUCAUACCGACUUACCAAACCGAUGCAAACUCCGAAUACCGAUGAGUGAUAUCCGGGAGACACACAGUGGGUGCUAACGUCCAUUGUGGAGAGGGAAACAACCCAGACCGCCAGCUAAGGCCCCAAAUUCCUAGUUAAGUGGGAAACGAGGUGGGAAGGCAUAGACAGCUAGGAGGUUGGCUUAGAAGCAGCCAUCCUUUAAAGAAAGCGUAAUAGCUCACUAGUCGAGUCGGCCCGCGCGGAAGAUGUAACGGGGCUCAAACUAGGAGCCGAAGCUGCGGAUUUGAAUUUGUUUUCAAGUGGUAGGGGAGCGUUGUGUAAGCCUGUGAAGGUGUGUUGUAAAGCAUGCUGGAGGUAUCACAAGAGCGAAUGCUGACGUGAGUAACGAUAAUGCGAGUGAAAAGCUCGCACGCCGGAAGAUCAAGGGUUCCAGUCCAACGUUAAUCGGGGCUGGGUGAGUCGACCCCUAAGGCGAGGCCGAAAGGCGUAGUCGAUGGGAAAUCGGUUAAUAUUCCGAUACUUGUUUAUAAUGCGAUGGAGGGACGGAGUAGGUUAUGUCAGCCUGGCGUUGGUUGUCCAGGUGAAAGGAUGUAGGCUUACAGUUUAGGCAAAUCCGGACUGUAAUAUGGCUGAGAUCUGAUAGCAAGCGGUACUUGUACCGYGAAGUGGCAAAUACCAUGCUUCCAGGAAAAGCUUCUAAGCAAUAGUUAUAAACGAAUCGUACCCUAAACCGACACAGGUGAUCAGGUAGAGAAUACCAAGGCGCUUGAGAGAACUCUGCUGAAGGAACUAGGCAAAAUGGUACCGUAACUUCGGGAGAAGGUACGCUGCCGAUGGUGAUAGGACUUGCUCCUUGAGCUGUUGGCAGUCGCAGAUACCAGGCUGCUGCAACUGUUUAUUAAAAACACAGCACUCUGCAAACACGAAAGUGGACGUAUAGGGUGUGAUGUCUGCCCGGUGCUGGAAGGUUAAUUGAUGGGGUUAGCGUAUGCGAAGCUCUUGAUCGAAGCCCCAGUAAACGGCGGCCGUAACUAUAACGGUCCUAAGGUAGCGAAAUUCCUUGUCGGGUAAGUUCCGACCUGCACGAAUGACAUAAUGAUGGCAGCGCUGUCUCCAGCAGAGACUCAGUGAAAUCGAAAUCGCAGUGAAGAUGCUGUGUACCCGCGGCUAGACGGAAAGACCCCGUGAACCUUUACUACAGCUUUACAUUGAACUUUGACCUGACUUGUGCAGGAUAGGUGGGAGGCUUUGAAGCCGAGACGCUAGUCUUGGUGGAGCCAUCCUUGAAAUACCACCCUGGUCAUGUCGGGGUUCUAACUCAGGUAUAACAAUACCGAGGACAAUGUAUGGUGGGU